GACGAACGCUGGCGGCGUGCCUAAUACAUGCAAGUCGAACGCAGUGGGGACGGGGGAGUAACACGUGGGUAACCUCCCAUCAGAGGGGAUAACACUUGGAAACAGGUGCUAAACCGAUACUGAUGGAUGGACCCGCGGUGCAUUAGCUAGUUGGUGAGGUAACGGCUCACCAAGGCCACGAUGCCUAGCCGACCUGAGAGGAUGAUCAGCCACACUGGAACUGAGACACGGCCCAGACUCCUACGGGAGGCAGCAGUAGGGAAUAUUCGGCAAUGGGCGAAAGUCUGACCGAGCAACGCCGCGUGGAUGAAGAAGGUUUUCGGAUCGUAAAGCUCUGUUGUUGGAGAAGCGGUAUCUACCCAGGAAGCCACGGCUAACUACGUGCCAGCCGCCGCGGUAAUUC
RNAcentral lists this ribosomal RNA (403 nucleotides) under uncultured bacterium. RNAcentral's name for it is "partial 16S ribosomal RNA". It matches the Rfam family "Bacterial small subunit ribosomal RNA", at positions 28 to 526 of the family's 1533-position model. The record is from RNAcentral.